RNAcentral lists this long non-coding RNA (324 nucleotides) under Mytilus galloprovincialis (Mediterranean mussel). Lineage: Eukaryota; Metazoa; Mollusca; Bivalvia; Mytilida; Mytilidae. The record is from RNAcentral.
UGACGUCCUUCAAAUGCUUUGAUUACACACCUGUGGUAAAAUAUGAAUUUAUUGUUUGGGCUGUUCCUAUCGUACUCCCACGUCAUAUGCUUUUUUAUGAAUGAGCUACCCGACGUCAUAGAACGUUGACCUCAGAAUAUAAGCAUUUUACAGGAAAAUACAUGCUUGUGAAACCGAAAAUCAUCACAAAAAGUAAACAUAAACAAACGAUGCUAAAAUGUGGAAUAAGCCAUUUUUUUAACAUAUAAGACAUGUUAAUUAUCAUUUAAACUCAUCUAAAACUAUCUAAAUACGUUAUUGUAAAUGUUAAGCAAAUUCACUAAU